This 372-nucleotide long non-coding RNA is filed under the name Nicotiana benthamiana. RNAcentral describes it as "long non-coding RNA (NBEN_LNC017502)". The record is from RNAcentral. Lineage: Eukaryota; Viridiplantae; Streptophyta; Magnoliopsida; Solanales; Solanaceae.
CUUUUUGUUCUUGGAGAUAAUUGUAUUUUGAUUGAGUUAUUGAUAUAAGGAAAGGGAAAGUAAGUAAGGUAAACAAAAAAUACUUCUUUUUCUUCGAACCCACCCAAUAAAAAAUCCUCCUUUUCUCAAUGGAGAAUCGAAAAAAUAAUAUUUUCAUACAAUAUCUUAAUUGAAUUAUAUGUAAUGAUCAAUAAAUUAAGUUGAAUUCUAUAUCUACACAUACCAAAAACAUAGAAAAAUCCGAAUACCAAUCUAAUCGAUUCUAUAGAUAUUUGGGCUAGAGUUGAUAAAAACAUUUCAAAAUCCUAGUACCAAUCUAAUCUAUUCUAUAGAUAUUUGGACUAGAGUUGACAAACAAACAAAAUAAGCAAU